RNAcentral lists this small RNA (69 nucleotides) under Sporolactobacillus inulinus CASD. Its description in RNAcentral is "Bacillaceae-1 RNA". It matches the Rfam family "Bacillaceae-1 RNA". The record is from Rfam by way of RNAcentral. Lineage: Bacteria; Bacillati; Bacillota; Bacilli; Caryophanales; Sporolactobacillaceae.
UGGAAAGGAACUUUCGCUAAAGGCGGUGCCAUUCCUGUGCACAACGCGGAAGUGACCGCAUCCUGCGGA